CCUACGGGUGGCAGCAGUGGGGAAUAUUGGGCAAUGGACGCAAGUCUGACCCAGCAACGCCGCGUGAAGGAAGAAGGCUUUCGGGUUGUAAACUUCUUUUAAUGGGGAAGAGCAGAAGACGGUACCCCUUGAAUAAGCCACGGCUAACUACGUGCCAGCAGCCGCGGUAAUACGUAGGGGGCAAGCGUUAUCCGGAUUUACUGGGUGUAAAGGGAGCGCAGACGGCUGUGCAAGUCUGGAGUGAAAGGCGGGGGCCCAACCCCCGAACUGCUCUGGAAACUGUAAAGCUGGAGUGCAGGAGAGGUAAGCGGAAUUCCUAGUGUAGCGGUGAAAUGCGUAGAUAUUAGGAAGAACACCAGUGGCGAAGGCGGAUUACUGGACGACAACUGACGGUGAGGCGCGAAAGCGUGGGGAGCAAACAGGAUUAGAUACCCUUGUAGUC
RNAcentral lists this ribosomal RNA (442 nucleotides) under uncultured bacterium. RNAcentral describes it as "partial 16S ribosomal RNA". It matches the Rfam family "Bacterial small subunit ribosomal RNA", at positions 338 to 795 of the family's 1533-position model. The record is from RNAcentral.